CUACCUAGGAAUUUGAAGUUCUUGGCUAGCAUAUUACCUGCAAUUAAUUACUAUGUGAGUUUCCUUAAAUAUAGCCGACCAAAUGACAAUAUAUUGGGAUCCAAAUUUUACCCUCAAUAAAAUAAUUCUGAGAUCACACUUUUAAAUUAAUACAACAUACGCUUCUUUUCCACACGGUAAACAAGAUAACUAGUUGCUUGGCAAAUUCAGCAUAUAUUUUCGUCAAAUCGAACAACACGUUGUAGAACAGCCAUCUUGCUUUUGUUUAUUAAGGCGGUAUUUUUCCUCUACCUUUUUAGCAGUGGGAUUAAAGUACUGUAUAAGUAAAUAGGGAAAUAUUAUAUGAAGUUAGAAUCUCUCACUUACUUCAUUUCAAUUUAUGGCAUUUAAGCAUUUACAAAGAGUGCUCCAGUACAAAAAUAUCUCAAACCAACAUUCAAAAAAACUGCAAAACUAACGUCGUCUUUGUAA
Molecule: non-coding RNA, 471 nt
Organism: Schizosaccharomyces pombe (fission yeast)
Lineage: Eukaryota; Fungi; Ascomycota; Schizosaccharomycetes; Schizosaccharomycetales; Schizosaccharomycetaceae
Source: the annotation of a GenBank genome assembly